Molecule: ribosomal RNA, 2812 nt
Filed under: human oral metagenome
Description: bacterial LSU rRNA
Rfam family: Bacterial large subunit ribosomal RNA
Source: RNAcentral
UUAAAUUAGUAAGAGCGUACGGUGGAUGUCUUGGCAUAUAGAGCAGAAGAAGGACGCAGAUAACGGCGAAACGCCUCGGGGAGUCGUACACAGGCAACGAUCCGGGGGUAUCCGAAUGGGGAAACCCGAUAAAGUUGAAAAGCUUUAUCAUCCUUAAGCCAAUACAUAACUUAAGAGAAGGCAACCCAGGGAAUUGAAACAUCUUAGUACCUGGAGGAGAAGAAAAUAACAAUGAUUCCGAGAGUAGUGGCGAGCGAAAUCGGAGCAGCCCAAACCAGCAACGAGCUGGGGUAGUAGGACCACGACAAGUGAUUGAAAAGAGAUAGUCGAAUGGCAUUGAAAGGUCAGCCGCAGAAGGUGCAAGCCCUGUAGGCGAAAUCUCGAUUCACGCGAGUGGGAUCCUGAGUACGUCGGAGCACGUGAAACUCUGACGGAAUCGACCGGGACCAUCCGGUAAGGCUAAAUACUCCUAUAUGACCGAUAGUGAACCAGUACCAUGAGGGAAAGAUGAAAAGAACCGCGGGAGCGGAGUGAAAUAUACAUGCGAGGUUAAGCAGACAAUGCGGAGCCGUAGCGAAAGCGAAUCUUAAUAGGGUGAGUAGUAUGUAGAGAUAGACCCGAAGCCGUAGUGAUCUAGUCAUGAGCAGGUUGAAGGCUGGGUGAAUCCAGCUGGAGGACCGAACCGACCCCCGUUGAAAAGUUGGCGGAUGACUUGUGAUUAGCGGAGAAAUUCCAAUCGAACACGGCGAUAGCUGGUUCUCCCCGAAAUAGCUUUAGGGCUAGCGUUGAACGAAUCUACCCGGAGGUAGAGCACUGAAAUCAUGCGGGCGGCAUCUCGCCGUACCAAAUGAUAUCAAACUCCGAAUGCCGGGCAAGAAUAUUCAGCAGUCAGACUGUGGGUGAUAAGGUCCAUGGUCAAAAGGGAAACAGCCCAGAUCAUCAGAUAAGGUCCCAAAAUUUACGCUAAGUGGAAAAGGAUGUGGAGACGCGCAAACAGCUAGGAGGUUGGCUCAGAAGCAGCCAUCCUUCAAAGAGUGCGUAACAGCUCACUAGUCGAGUAUCUCUGCGCCGAAAAUUAACCGGGGCUAAGCGUAAUACCGAAUCUAUGGAUUUAUACUUAGGUAUAAGUGGUAGGGGAGCGUUCCAUACAGCAUUGAAGGUAUACCGUAAGGAGUGCUGGAGCGUAUGGAAGUGAGAAUGCCGGUGUGAGUAGCGAGAUGUGGGUGAGAAUCCCACACACCGAACAACCAAGGUUUCCAGGGGAAGGUUCGUCCGCCCUGGGUAAGUCGGGACCUAAGGCCAGGCCGAAAGGCGUAGUCGAUGGACAGCAGGUUGAUAUUCCUGCACCCGCGAGUAAAGUGAUGGAGUGACAGAUAGGGUUAACCCAAGUCCUUAAUGGAUUGGGCAAGGCAAGCAGGAGAGUGGCGUAGGCAAAUCCGCGCCGGAUACUCAAAGGCUUGACUCAAGCGAACGCGCGAGCAAGUAGUGAAGAGGGUGAUACCAGGUCUCAAGAAAAGCUUCUAGCGAUAAUUUACUAGCGGCCCGUACCAAAACCGACACAGGUGGUUGAGGCGAGUAGCCUAAGGUGAGCGAGAGAACUGUUGCCAAGGAACUCGGCAAAUUGACCCCGUACGUUAGCAAUAAGGGGUGCUCGAAAGAGCCGCAGUGAAUAGGCCCUAGCAACUGUUUAACUAAAACAUAGCUCUCUGCGAAGUCGCAAGACGAAGUAUAGGGGGUGACACCUGCCCGGUGCUGGAAGGUCAAGGGGAUUUGUCAGACGCAAGUCGAAGCAUUGAACCGAAGCCCCAGUGAACGGCGGCCGUAACUAUAACGGUCCUAAGGUAGCGAAAUUCCUUGUCAGGUAAGUUCUGACCCGCACGAAAGGUGUAAUGAUUUGGGCACUGUCUCGGCAGCAGACUCGGUGAAAUCUUAGUACCUGUGAAGAUGCAGGUUACCCGCAACUAGACGGAAAGACCCCAUGGAGCUUUACUGUAGUCUGCUAUUGAGUUUCGGUUAAGUAUGCACAGGAUAGGUGGGAGACGAUGAGACUGGUCUUUCGGGAUCAGAGGAGUCACUGUUGGGAUACCACUCUUACUUAAUUGAAAUUCUAACUCUAAGCCGUGAUCCGGCUAGAGGACCGUGGCAGAUGGGCAGUUUGACUGGGGCGGUCGCCUCCCAAAGAGUAACGGAGGCGCACAAAGGUACUCUCAGAAUGGUUGGAAAUCAUUCAACGAGCGCAAACGCAGAAGAGUGCUUGACUGCGAGACAAACAAGUCGAGCAGGGACGAAAGUCGGUGUUAGUGAUCCGGCGGUGCAGAAUGGAAUGGCCGUCGCUUAACGGAUAAAAGCUACCCUGGGGAUAACAGGCUGAUCUCGCCCAAGAGUUCACAUCGACGGCGAGGUUUGGCACCUCGAUGUCGGCUCAUCGCAUCCUGGAGGUGAAUUCGCUUCCAAGGGUUGGGCUGUCCGCCCAUUAAAGCGGUACGCGAGCUGGGUUCAGAACGUCGUGAGACAGUUCGGUCCCUAUCUGUUGUGGGCGUUGGAAAUUUGAGGAGAGCUGCCCCUAGUACGAGAGGACCAGGGUGGACGUUCCUACGGUGCACCAGUUGUCACGCCAGUGGCAUAGCUGGAUAGCUGAGAACGGACCGGAUAAACGCUGAAGGCAUCUAAGCGUGAAACCGACUCCAAGAUUAGAUUUCCCAUCAUUUCAAAUGAAUAAGACCCCUUGAAGACGACGAGGUUGAUAGGUCAGAGAUGUAAGUGUAGCGAUACAUUCAGUUGACUGAUACUAAUAGGUCGAAGAUUUAUUCAC